AGUGAACGCUGGCGGUAGGCCUAACACAUGCAAGUCGAACGGCAGCACAGUAAGAGCUUGCUCUUACGGGUGGCGAGUGGCGGACGGGUGAGGAAUACAUCGGAAUCUACUUUUUCGUGGGGGAUAACGUAGGGAAACUUACGCUAAUACCGCAUACGACCUGCGGGUGAAAGCAGGGGAUCUUCGGACCUUGCGCGAUUGAAUGAGCCGAUGUCGGAUUAGCUAGUUGGCGGGGUAAAGGCCCACCAAGGCGACGAUCCGUAGCUGGUCUGAGAGGAUGAUCAGCCUCACUGGAACUGAGACACGGUCCAGACUCCUACGGGAGGCAGCAGUGGGGAAUAUUGGACAAUGGGCGCAAGCCUGAUCCAGCCAUACCGCGUGGGUGAAGAAGGCCUUCGGGUUGUAAAGCCCUUUUGUUGGGAAAGAAAAGCAGCAGGUUAAUACCCCGCUGUUCUGACGGUACCCAAAGAAUAAGCACCGGCUAACUUCGUG
Molecule: ribosomal RNA, 492 nt
Filed under: uncultured bacterium
Lineage: Bacteria
Description: partial 16S ribosomal RNA
Rfam family: Bacterial small subunit ribosomal RNA
Source: RNAcentral